Molecule: ribosomal RNA, 486 nt
Filed under: uncultured bacterium
Lineage: Bacteria
Description: partial 16S ribosomal RNA
Rfam family: Bacterial small subunit ribosomal RNA
Source: RNAcentral
AGUGAACGCUGGCGGUAGGCCUAACACAUGCAAGUCGAACGGCAGCACAGUAAGAGCUUGCUCUUACGGGUGGCGAGUGGCGGACGGGUGAGGAAUACAUCGGAAUCUACUUUUUCGUGGGGGAUAACGUAGGGAAACUUACGCUAAUACCGCAUACGACCUACGGGUGAAAGCAGGGGAUCUUCGGACCUUGCGCGAUUGAAUGAGCCGAUGUCGGAUUAGCUUGUUGGCGGGGUAAAGGCCCACCAAGGCGACGAUCCGUAGCUGGUCUGAGAGGGUGGACGGCCACAGUGGGACUGAGAGACGGCCCAGACUCGUACGGGAGGCAGCAGUGGGGAAGAUUGCACAAUGGGCGGAAGCCUGAUGCAGCGACGCCGCGUGGGGGAUGACGGCCUUCGGGUUGUAAACUCCUGUCGACCGCGAGGAAGCCACCUGGUUGGAAGGGUGGUGACGGUAGUGGUAGAAGAAGCACCGGCUAACUACGUG